Molecule: ribosomal RNA, 356 nt
Filed under: Salmonella enterica subsp. enterica serovar Infantis
Lineage: Bacteria; Pseudomonadati; Pseudomonadota; Gammaproteobacteria; Enterobacterales; Enterobacteriaceae
Also listed under: 2 other names
Description: bacterial SSU rRNA
Rfam family: Bacterial small subunit ribosomal RNA
Source: RNAcentral
AAAUUGAAGAGUUUGAUCAUGGCUCAGAUUGAACGCUGGCGGCAGGCCUAACACAUGCAAGUCGAACGGUAACAGGAAGCAGCUUGCUGCUUCGCUGACGAGUGGCGGACGGGUGAGUAAUGUCUGGGAAACUGCCUGAUGGAGGGGGAUAACUACUGGAAACGGUGGCUAAUACCGCAUAACGUCGCAAGACCAAAGAGGGGGACCUUCGGGCCUCUUGCCAUCAGAUGUGCCCAGAUGGGAUUAGCUUGUUGGUGAGGUAACGGCUCACCAAGGCGACGAUCCCUAGCUGGUCUGAGAGGAUGACCAGCCACACUGGAACUGAGACACGGUCCAGACUCCUACGGGAGGCAGCA